GGGGGUGUGGCUCAGGGAUGGAGCCUCCGCUUGGCACACAGAAAGUCCCUGGUUCAACCCCUGGCAUUGCCA
RNAcentral lists this transfer RNA (72 nucleotides) under Sphaerodactylus townsendi. Its description in RNAcentral is "tRNA-Ala". It matches the Rfam family "tRNA". Rfam says of the family: Transfer RNA (tRNA) molecules are approximately 80 nucleotides in length. Their secondary structure includes four short double-helical elements and three loops (D, anti-codon, and T loops). The record is from RNAcentral. Lineage: Eukaryota; Metazoa; Chordata; Lepidosauria; Squamata; Sphaerodactylidae.